This 397-nucleotide ribosomal RNA is filed under the name uncultured bacterium. RNAcentral describes it as "partial 16S ribosomal RNA". It matches the Rfam family "Bacterial small subunit ribosomal RNA", at positions 523 to 918 of the family's 1533-position model. The record is from RNAcentral.
AUACGUAGGUGACAAGCGUUAUCCGGAUUUACUGGGCGUAAAGGGCGUGUAGGCGGUCUUGCAAGUCAGAAGUGAAAUUCCUGAGCUCAACUCGGGCGCUGCUUCUGAAACUGCAGGACUUGAGUGCUGGAGGGGAUAGCGGAAUUCCUAGUGGAGCGGUAAAAUGCGCAGAUAUUAGGAAGAACACCGGUGGCGAAGGCGGAUAACUGGAAAGUAACUGACGCUGAGGCGCGAAAGCGGGGGGAGCAAACAGGAUUAGAUACCCUGGUAGUCCACGCUGUAAACGAUGAAUACUAGGUGUAGGGGGUAUCGACUCCCUCUGUGCCGCAGUUAACACAAUAAGUAUUCCGCCUGGGGAGUACGGCCGCAAGGUUGAAACUCAAAUGAAUUGACGGGG